Molecule: ribosomal RNA, 413 nt
Filed under: uncultured microorganism
Description: bacterial SSU rRNA
Rfam family: Archaeal small subunit ribosomal RNA
Source: RNAcentral
GCGCACCAGGCGAGAAACCUCCGCAAUGCGGGAAACCGCGACGGGGGACCCCGAGUGCCGUGGCAACGCCACGGCUUUUCCGGAGUGUAAAAAGCUCCGGGAAUAAGGGCUGGGCAAGGCCGGUGGCAGCCGCCGCGGUAAUACCGGCGGCCCGAGUGGUGGCCGCUAUUAUUGGGCCUAAAGCGUCCGUAGCCGGGCCCGUAAGUCCCUGGCGAAAUCCCACGGCUCAACCGUGGGGCUUGCUGGGGAUACUGCGGGUCUUGGGACCGGGAGAGGCGGGGGGUACCCCUGGGGUAGGGGUGAAAUCCUAUAAUCCCAGGGGGACCGCCAGUGGCGAAGGCGCCCCGCUGGAACGGGUCCGACGGUGAGGGACGAAGGCCAGGGGAGCAAACCGGAUUAGAUACCCCUGUAGU